GGCGUCGUGGCGCAAUGGCUAGCGCAUAGAGCUUCUAUCACAUUCCAAAGGGAGACACCUCCCGAUCAAUCAAUUACUCUAAGGCUGCGGGUUCGAGUCCCGCCGACGUCU
This is a non-coding RNA of Melanopsichium pennsylvanicum, 111 nucleotides long. The record is from the annotation of a GenBank genome assembly. NCBI's taxonomy places the organism in Eukaryota, Fungi, Basidiomycota, Ustilaginomycetes, Ustilaginales.